UUUGAAAAUAAUAAUAAUUAUCAUAUAAGAAAUAUUUGGACAUUUCUUAAUAUAAUACAUUUUAGAAUCUACGUUAAAUUGGAUCGGAUAAGAACUUCGCACAACCUAAAGCUGUCUGAUAUCAAGGUAUUUCGGAGCCUGGAUCCAUUGUGUGAUUCAUCAGUUAAUGUGAUAAAUAUUUUCUAAACUAAAUACUCUUAACUCAGGUGGAAGAAGAAAACUACAAAGAAUGGUAGUCGAGUCUAGAUCUAACAUUUUUAGUGUAUUGUUACACUUGCACCCCAAGAUUUUCAGCAAAAACCAUGGUCCACCCUACACUCGACAAAUGGGACGAAAACUUGUUGCCACUAGUUAUAAUUAUGGCCACUUUGUUGCUUCAGUUAAAACUGACUGAAUUACCGAAUUAACCGAAAUAGAUUGAUUUAUUCUGUUGUU
This is a long non-coding RNA of Mercurialis annua (annual mercury), 435 nucleotides long. RefSeq lists it as uncharacterized. The record is from RefSeq and is a predicted model, not a curated record. The transcript has 2 exons. Lineage: Eukaryota; Viridiplantae; Streptophyta; Magnoliopsida; Malpighiales; Euphorbiaceae.